RNAcentral lists this ribosomal RNA (252 nucleotides) under uncultured Bacteroidales bacterium. RNAcentral describes it as "partial 16S ribosomal RNA". It matches the Rfam family "Bacterial small subunit ribosomal RNA", at positions 524 to 776 of the family's 1533-position model. The record is from RNAcentral. Lineage: Bacteria; Pseudomonadati; Bacteroidota; Bacteroidia; Bacteroidales.
UACGGAGGAUGCGAGCGUUAUCCGGAUUUAUUGGGUUUAAAGGGUGCGUAGGCGGGCUUUUAAGUCAGCGGUAAAAAUUCGGGGCUCAACCCCGUCCGGCCGUUGAAACUGGGGGCCUUGAGUGGGCGAGAAGAAGGCGGAAUGCGUGGUGUAGCGGUGAAAUGCAUAGAUAUCACGCAGAACCCCGAUUGCGAAGGCAGCCUGCCGGCCCCACACUGACGCUGAGGCACGAAAGCGUGGGGAGCAAAUAGG